GACGAACGCUGGCGGCAUGCUUAACACAUGCAAGUCGAACGGAACCUUCCUGCUUUUUUGCGCUCCUCUACUUGCCACCUGGUGACUUACCCUUAAGUUCCCUGUCCUUCCCCUUGAGAUAUCUUCAUACCACUUGAUCUCUUCCCGCCUAAGAUCUCUCGCUUUUUGGUGGGCCUUCGUUAGUUUCGGCGGUUGGUGAUGUACUCGCCGCUUAUCAGCUUGUUGGUGGGGUAGUGGCUUACCAAGGAUUUGCCGGGUAGCAGGCCUGAGAGGGUGACCGGCCACAGUGGGACUGAGAUACGGCCAAGACUGCUACGGGAGGAAGAAGUGGGGAAGAUUGAAAAAUGGGCGGAAGCCUGAUGCAGCAACGCCGCGUGCGGGAUGAAGGCCUUCGGGUUGUAAACCGCUUUCGCCUGUGACGAAGCGUGAGUGACGGUAAUGGGUAAAGAAGCACCGGCUAACUACGUG
This 468-nucleotide ribosomal RNA is filed under the name uncultured bacterium. RNAcentral describes it as "partial 16S ribosomal RNA". It matches the Rfam family "Bacterial small subunit ribosomal RNA", at positions 28 to 507 of the family's 1533-position model. The record is from RNAcentral.